CCCUAUGGGGCGCAGCAGGCAUUGCGGGAACAGGCUCCAGCCUUUCAUGUUGCGGAUCGGGUCAUGACCGAAGUUCAAUCCGCCCCGGCGGAGGAUAUCAUUGUCCUGGGCUGGUUUGGAGGGCUGUCCGUCCUUGCCGCCUCCAUCGUUCUUGUUAUCAGCCUCCAGUCCUGGCAGGUAUUGGCACAUCCGCUAUUCCAGAUGAUGAUUCCAUUACAGGAUAUUAACUUAUGGUAGAUCAAGUCAAUCCGAUAACCCCGGUGACUCAUUCGCUGCAUCGCAAGAAAACGGUGCGUCAAAUUCUGCUUGCGGUCGUAAUCUUCGUGUCCGGCAUUGUCAUCGGAGCGGGAGAGC
RNAcentral lists this ribosomal RNA (354 nucleotides) under uncultured prokaryote. RNAcentral describes it as "partial 16S ribosomal RNA". The record is from RNAcentral.